AAUCAGACAAAGAUAAUGUAUCAGGACCCAAAUACUGACAACCUCCAUCACCGUGAAGACAAGAGACUUCAGUGGAUCGCCCAGGACCACGUUUUUGCAGGGAGGGAAUCCCAAGGAUUAUUACAGGACACGAUACGGAGCUACUUUUUGAUAUAGAAGGUGUCAGACCUCAGAGUAUUUUGCUGGAGUGUAACUUUAGUUGGUUUGAAUACAAUACGGCAUAGAAGAAAUGUUAUUAGAGUAAUGCACAGGCUGAAUCAACAUGUGGUUUCAGAUCAAUAACAGGCCAAUAACCGCAAACCUUUUCCUAUACAACCUUAUCACUGCAGAUUAAGAAAGAAAAGAGAUGGGAAACACGAGAGCAUCGUUCUGAAGAGUCACACCUACGAGUGAAAAGCAGCAUCAUUCCUAGCACCUGCUACGGAGCGGCAGCGCUGCCCUCCCCCUGCGCCGCACCCCAAUGAACCUUCGCCUAUCAGAAAUGAGCGGGAAGGAAUCAAAUGAAAAGUCUACAGAGGAUUUGUAAAGAAAACUCUGAAAUGGAAGAUUACAGUUAGUUUCUAAGGAGCAGCAAGGUCACAGGAGACAGGACAUCCUCUGUAAAAGGACUGUAGAACUAUACUCUUUGCACCGAAGUGUGGUUCAUCCAAGCGUUCCUUGAUGAAUCGGACGGCUUCCUCAUUGCUGAAAGCAUCCCACAGACCAUCCGACGCCAAGAUCAUGAACUCUGGCUGCAGUUUGUCCAGGUCAAAGACGAAGACGCGGAGGCAGAAGGCAAUGCAUCUCUGGAGGCAACGCUCUUCGAGAUCAGAGGGAAACCGGCCGGGACGGUCAACUGGCUGUUGAAGAUGAAGCUGCUCUUCUCACCCUGACACUGGCUCAUUAAGGGAUAGGUCAAUCUGCUUCCACUUCUCUGUCUGCACCAUCACAUCCCACUGAAAAGCGCUGUAUUAAUAAUGGAAGAUUUUAUCUGCUGAUGCCUCAGCCUAGUACUUUUCAGUCUCUCUCAGGGGAAAAGUCUAUAUUAUUGACAGAGUAGAGAAGAAAAAAGAUGAACCUUCAAUCCAAAGCAAAAAUGUUACGACUCACCAGCUC
Molecule: long non-coding RNA, 1095 nt
Organism: Chroicocephalus ridibundus (black-headed gull)
Lineage: Eukaryota; Metazoa; Chordata; Aves; Charadriiformes; Laridae
Exons: 6
Source: RefSeq, a predicted model, not a curated record